GGCGAACGGGUGCAUAACACGUGAGAAACCUGCCUCAGUCUCUGGGAUAACAGUUGGAAACGACUGCUAAUACCGGAUGCCGUCACACCAUCACAUGUUGGAGUGACGAAAGAUUUAUCGGAUUGAGAGGGUCUCGCGGCCUAUCAGCUAGUUGGAGAGGUAACGGCUCACCAAGGCAUCGACGGGUAGCUGGUCUGAGAGGAUGAUCAGCCACACUGGGACUGAGACACGGCCCAGACUCCUACGGGAGGCAGCAGUGGGGAAUCUUGCACAAUGGGCGAAAGCCUGAUGCAGCAACGCCGCGUGCGGGAAGAAGGCCCUAGGGUUGUAAACCGCUUUCAGUAGGGAAGAAAAUGACGGUACCUACAGAAGAAGGUGCGGCCAACUACGUGCCAGCAGCCGCGGUGACACGUAGGCACCAAGCGUUAUCCGGAUUUAUUGGGCGUAAAGAGCUCGUAGGCGGUUCGGUAAGUCGGGUGUGAAAACUCUGGGCUCAACCCAGAGAGGCCACCCGAUACUGCUGUGACUAGAGUGCGGUAGGGGAGCGGGGAAUUCCUGGUGUAGCGGUGAAAUGCGCAGAUAUCAGGAGGAACACCAGCGGCGAAGGCGCCGCUCUGGGCCGUAA
This 625-nucleotide ribosomal RNA is filed under the name uncultured bacterium. RNAcentral's name for it is "bacterial SSU rRNA". It matches the Rfam family "Bacterial small subunit ribosomal RNA", at positions 97 to 739 of the family's 1533-position model. The record is from RNAcentral.